This 72-nucleotide unclassified non-coding RNA is filed under the name Pseudomonas yamanorum. Lineage: Bacteria; Pseudomonadati; Pseudomonadota; Gammaproteobacteria; Pseudomonadales; Pseudomonadaceae. The record is from RNAcentral.
UGUAGGAGCUGGCUUGCCUGCGAUAGCGGCGGUGAAUUCAACAUCGCUAUCGCAGGCAAGCCAGCUCCCACA